RNAcentral lists this non-coding RNA (21 nucleotides) under Caenorhabditis elegans. The record is from RNAcentral. Lineage: Eukaryota; Metazoa; Nematoda; Chromadorea; Rhabditida; Rhabditidae.
UAUUUGCACCACUUCUCAAGA